Panicum virgatum (switchgrass) is the source of this 3070-nucleotide long non-coding RNA. RefSeq lists it as uncharacterized. The transcript has 7 exons. NCBI's taxonomy places the organism in Eukaryota, Viridiplantae, Streptophyta, Magnoliopsida, Poales, Poaceae. The record is from RefSeq and is a predicted model, not a curated record.
UCCCAUCUCUCCGCAAAAUCAGCCAAUCAAACCCAUCAAUCAAGCUAUUCAAUCCCCGUUUCCAGCCUGCCCGGCCUCCACCCCCCGGCCGGCUGCCACCGCCGCCUCCUCCCGUGAUCCCGUCAGCGGCGCACCCCCGACCGCGCGGCCGCAUCCGCAAGGCCUCUGCAUCGCCGUUGCUGGCGAGCAUCCUCGAGCGCCACCUGCACAAGGACAGGGAGAGUGGCAAGGCUGGCCGGCCUGUUGAUCCGCGGCGCCACCGACAACGCAGCUCGUCCGCCUCCUUGACGCCAGCAGACCAGACCGGUCUAACCGGUCGACCCGACCGGUCAGACCGAUCGGCCUCGGCAGGUGCCAAAUUUGGCUGUCAACAGGGAGCUGCUUGUGGCCGAUGGUUCUGGGCUCUCUGCCCUUCCUGUCAUCAGCAGCUCAGUGGGCACCUCCGCUGCCAUCCGGUAUAGAUCAAUAAGGUAUGCAGACAUCAGAUUUGGAAUUGACAUAAUUUUGUGGCUGAUCUGAUUUGGAUUAAUGGCGUUCGUGAGUUUCCCUUGGAUCUCUGUAGGUUAGAUUAAUGGUGUUGUCUGUGUUCUCUCUACAAUGGCCAUUAUAGCUCGUGUAUAAAGCUCUUGACAGGUUUGAGAAAGCACAUCACAAGCAAAUUUGAGGUGCUAAUAUUGUAAGUUGCCUCCCUGGUUGUGUAAACACUUUUGUAUAAGCUCCCUGGAUCAUGCCAGCAUUGGUUGUUUGCAGCCAUAUGUUCGAGACAAACAACUCAGUUUGUUUAACUUCUUGCAUUUCCUUCAUGAAUAAAUUUGUCCAAGGUAGUAGGAGCUUACUGCAAACUCUAUGUCUCCACCGUAGGCCUGAGUUAAAUAUAUGGUCUUGAUUCUUGAUACAAUAGAGAAAGGCUCAACCAUAUAUUUGCGAGAUACAAAAGGCACCAGAUGGCAAUGACAACAACUAGAUUUGCGAGGAUUUCAGUGGCCUUCUCGACCACCCUCAAUGCAUGCAGGUUAUCAAGUAUGGGAGAUGCUAGCUAGGAAGCCAUUUGGUGUCCUGUCCAAUGUCCACAAACAAGGUAUUGCUGAAUCUCAUCACCGUGUGUGCAAACUCCAGGUUCAUAUGUGCAGUUAGUUCAAGAAGCGCCCAUGGCAAAAAUUGUAUUACACAAAUCCAAACUAUAUAACCAGCGAUUUGUGGGUUUUCUUUGCAGAAGUUAAGGCAAUACCAGGAGAAACACCUGGUUCCUCAAUAUUUCCAUUCAUUGUUUCAAUUAACUGAUAUUUAAUCAGAUUGGAGCAAUUGGAUUAGAGUAGGCAUAUAGGAGGUUGAUCAGCUAGCAAGAAAUACCUUAUCUGAUCCACUAUUCAAGGUUAGCAUGGCGCUGAACAUCUCAGGCACGUGCCUGUGAUCUGUAGCACGUGCACAUCCACGUGCCAUCAUAAAUCCAUUAUAAUAUAUAAUGUCUCUUUGCUUUUUAUUGUUUCAAGUUAAAGCAUGUGCUAGCACGCACACUUUGCUGUACAAAGGGGGAAUAAAGGCACCUGCAAUUGGUGUAAAAGGGGGAAGACCCUGCAAUCAAAGGAUGAGAGCAUAGCUUAAGAAGAAAAGGUAUAUCCCUGGCCAAAAUUUAUAGCUUUAUUUGCUACAUUGGAUAAUCGAUUUAGACUGAAGCAUGUUGACACAUAGAUUAAUUAGGCCGGAUCUAUUUCUCUUGGAGCUGUCUGGUUGAAUUCACACAAUAAAUUGUAAUUCCAUCAUCAGUGUUCAGGCUGAAAUAACAUUGUAGGUUUGAUGGAUCUUUAUGAGAUUGUGUGUAUGCUAAUCAAUAAGGAUCUAACACUGUUUGUCUACAUACAAUGCUUCUUCACAGUUUGUUUACGAGGAGCCACAUGAAGACCUUUUUUUAAUAUGUCGCUGUGGAAAAAAGAAUUUUUCGCUCUUCAAACAAGAGGUGUUUCAAUAGGACAUACAAAAAUUAAUUCAUUUACCCAAUGAUUCCUGCCAACUAAACUAAAGAAAAUCAGUUCAUUUGUGGUGUGAUAAUUAUUUGCAGUGAGUUCCCGUUCAAAUCUCUAGGAGAAAUUGAUUUCAAUGUGGCAUCAAAUUCUGAAGGUCAAAGAGCAUUAUUAGAAGAUAUUGAUAUGAAUCUAGAACUAUAAGAAGUGGAUGCUGAAUUUUCUAUCAGUAAUAUUUUCAUUAGAUGUAUCAUUAGAGAGCAUUGUACAAUUAUUUGAUUCUUGUUAUGUUGAAUGCUUUUAAAAUAUCAGUAGAGAGUCUGUCUAUAAGUAGGAUCCUUUUUACAUCUCCAAGCAUUCAUUGAUGUUUUUGAAUAGUAGUCAUGUGAGGGAAGUAGAAGCUCUACUAUUUGAUUUACUUUCGGUCUGCUCACCUCCCCAGCGAUAGUCGUUCCAGUUGCCGAUUUGUAUAAUGUAUAUACUUCUAGAUGCAUUUUUUUUCAUUUGCAAAGCUAAUAAGUGUACAUAUACUCAUUCUCCUUCUCCCAUGCAUGUGCAUUUCUUCUCUUUUUUUUUUUCCUUCAAGGGAUUCUGAAGAUUUUAAUCCCCACAGAUAUGCUUCCAGUUUACCUCACCAAAUUACCUGUCUAGAUUGUUUUUGCAGGAAAAGAGUAUUCCUUCCAUUCGAUGCAUGCUGAAUGCUGUCACUAAUUAUGAAUUUACUUUAUGAAGAUUCCUAUCAAUUUCAGAUAUCUGAUUCCUUUGUUGAUGCCCAAGUAACUCAACAGUUUCAACUUUUGAAAUUUGAUGGCUCCCAAAUGUAGGGGCUGAAUCUGAGAAGAAUGGCAGCUAACUGAAUGUCCAAGCAAACUUCCAUAUGCCUCCAACGGUAGCGGCGCCGCCGGUACUUUGGUCUACGUGGAGGAGAGAGCAAGGCAAAAGGCAGCUCGCGAACUGCGAGGGAAGCUAUAGUCACAAACACAAACCGAUUUAAGUUAUGUGACAGUUGAAAAAACUUCUGAUCUGUGAAUAUAAAUUGAUUUUUUCCUAAUGUUCAAAUGCGUGUAAAAGAGGUUUCAUAUGUUUCUUGCAUAUUUCUCUCUGUUAGAGUA